AAUAGUUAGACGGUAUGGAAUCAUUAGAUUCGUUAUCACGCUUAUCCAGUCCAACCAGGCUGGCUUUUCAACUGGGCUUGAGGAGGCUAUCUUGUUUACCCGAAAUCUACUCACUUAUACUAACGGGCACUGAGACUGGCUUUCGAAAACACUCGUAUCAGGGAUGAGAAAGUACGGACUUGAGAGUACGGGUCUUUUUCUUCCUUACAUUAGCGCUACCGGCUGGAAAGGCUGUGGAAUGACUUCUCGCUCAUUUAUCUAAGGUAAGGGCGAUGAACCCCGCCUCCCCUAUCAUAUCUUAGGGGUCUUCCCCUGUCGGGUAUAUAGGGGGUUUAGUACCUUUCGCAAAGCUAUGUCGUAUUUGAAGUAGAGUGAGACCUCUGUCUUGCUUGAACUUGAACUCUCUUGUCGAAAGGAAAGCUAAACGAUCGGGCUUGGCUUCCAACCAAUGCUUCCCCUCCCCUUCCAAUAGACCAACUCGCUUUUCAAGAUACAUCCGCCCUUCCCGGGCUUGCUACUCUUGGCAGGAAAGCUCUAGGACUCAAGGCACCACGUAUCUAAACCGGAAAAUUGAAUGGCUAUCCAAAGUACCCUUGCUUGCCCAGUUUUGAACAUAGAAGUUAGAAUCUAUUUUAUAUAUAUAUAUUCACUUCCCUUUUUUAAGCAUAUUCAAAAAAGGAGGAAAAGAGUUGGUUGGGAGAGAGGAUCAGCCUCAGCUCCAUAAGCCUUAGCAUGUUCAACCGAGAACCAAUCCUAGUGUUUUCAAUCAGUGCAUUGGUAGCCGAAGCAUUCAACCCUAUCUGUAACCCCUAUGAUCGAGCGCCUGUAUCUGAAGUGUUGAGCGCUUUAUCCAUAUAUAUAUACGUAGAAACCACUUGUUUCGGGAUAAAAAAAACCCGUUAUAUUCAUUUGACCUAUUGUGAAAGUCGAGUGCAUUUAUAACUAACUGAGGUUGGGUCGAGCCCAGCCCUCUUUCUUUCAUUUUCUUAAAAAAGAGAAGGGCGCUCAACAAGCGAUUUUCAAAAGGUUAGUUAAUUGCUUCUCAUUGAAACAAAGAAAUCUUUUGAAAAGUAAUGAAUAGCGGGCCGAUUGAACGAGAUUGAAGCUGCAGCCACCGUGUCAUUCGUGGGUUGGUUCGGUUCAUUCUUCUCUUCCUCUAUUCUGGAAGCGGACAGCUAUAAGGAAAUUGGAAUAAGCAAGUUCGGAUUCUCACUCAAAUUCAUUCUUCCUUAGGCUAGAGCUAUUGAAUAUGGCAGUUCUAUUCCAGGCCAGAGGAAGAGGAGAGAGAGAGCACUUGACCAACUCUGCACUGCCUCGGAUGAGAACAAGUUUUGGGGAACCGGGCUACUGUAACCGAGAAAACUCCCUGCUUGACUUAGUGCGCGAAAGAGCUUUAUUUAGAAUUAGAGUAAGGGCACGCUAAGACAUUCCUUUUCGUGCUUUCGAUCUGCUUACUUUGAAUAAAGAUAAAUAAUAGGCGUAAAGGCUCUACUUAUUGAAGUUCAUCUUUCGCGUAGCAUGGUGGGUGGGCGAAGGUAUCUUCUCUCUUCAAGUCUUAAAGGUAUAAGUUCAGAUUGAACAAUUUCACCUUAGAAAAAAGCCGUAUUAGCUAGAAAGCCAAUAGCAAGACGCUAGCAAGCCAACCUGUAAUCCAGCAAGCAUGUGAAGGUGGGAAUAGAUUAAAGCGAUCGGGCGGAGGCGGGAACCUUUCCAUCCA
RNAcentral lists this long non-coding RNA (1717 nucleotides) under Ricinus communis (castor bean). Its description in RNAcentral is "long non-coding RNA (RCOM_LNC003441)". Lineage: Eukaryota; Viridiplantae; Streptophyta; Magnoliopsida; Malpighiales; Euphorbiaceae. The record is from RNAcentral.